Molecule: long non-coding RNA, 1023 nt
Filed under: Homo sapiens (human)
Lineage: Eukaryota; Metazoa; Chordata; Mammalia; Primates; Hominidae
Description: HSALNT0188729
Source: RNAcentral
GAUUGGUCAGUAUGGUUUAUUUCCUCCAGCCAUAUUCAGCUGCAGGGGUGUAUGUUUGGAGUGAAUUUAACCAGGGAGGGGUUUUGCCAAGAUAGCCAAACAAAGCAGGAGAAGGGCAAGGGAUAGAGGGUACCUGUGUAUGCAAGGGAGUGGUAUAAUAUACUGUGGAAUUCUAACCGGGUAAGGAGGGGAGGACAUGAAGUGGCUAAGAGAUAGUGAAAAGAUGGGAGAAGCAAUGGAUGGAAGGUCCUGGUGGGAUCAGAAGCUGCUGGAGUUUGGGUAUGUGAGAGACUGAACCAUGAAGAUAGUGGGUUAUUGUUGGACAGUGGGAGCUAAUUGAUAUUGUGAAAGCAUGAUCAUGGGAUGAGUGGGUAAAGGACAAGAUCAGUGGAAGUGAGAAAUUUAAAGAACUGAGACAAGGAAUUCAGAGAGAUACGGUAUGGAAAGAUCAUCUUUGUGAAAUCACUGAGAGUUAAGAUAGUAGUGUAGAAGGUCACAGUAAGCCAGGUAUUGGGUAAUAGAAUUUUUAUAGGAUAUUCGAUGUAAGGUUUUGUGUUUUUUUAGGGAAUAAGGAGGGAGACUGAUUUGGAAACAUCUGUGAGGAGCAAAGAGGACACUUACUCACCCCCAGGUCCAGUGGUAUGAGAGGUAUGGGGAAGGUAACUUACACCACUUUAGGGCCCCAGAGGCCAGUGUGGCCCCAGAGGAGAACCGGCUUUUAAUUAGAGCAAGAAGUUGAAGGGAAUAUUCAAAGAAGAUGCUGAAAAUGUAGGGAAAGCGCUUCAAAGUUUGGAGAGGUGGAUGACACAUGGAGACGGAACUAGAGAUAUGCAGAACAGUGUGGGGAUUAGAAUGUGGGAGAUGAGCCACCAUGCCUAGCCUUGAACCACAUUUUUUUUUCCUUUUUUUUUUUUUUAAGAGACAAGGUCACACUCUCUUGCCCAGGCUGGAGUGCAGUGGCAUAAUCCUAGCUCACUUCAGCCUCAACCUCCCAGGCUCAAGUGAUCCUCCCUCUUCAGCCUC